UACGUAGGGGGCAAGCGUUACUCGGAAUUACUGGGCGUAAAGCGUGCGUAGGCGGUUUGUUAAGUCCGUUGUGAAAGCCCUGGGCUCAACCUGGGAAUUGCAGUGGAUACUGGCGAGCUAGAGUGCGGUAGAGGAUGGUGGAAUUCCCGGUGUAGCGGUGAAAUGCGUAGAUAUCGGAAGGAACAUCAGUGGCGAAAGCGGCUUCCUGGACCAGCACCGACGUUCAGGCACGAAAGCGUGGGGAGCAAACAGG
RNAcentral lists this ribosomal RNA (253 nucleotides) under uncultured bacterium. RNAcentral's name for it is "partial 16S ribosomal RNA". It matches the Rfam family "Bacterial small subunit ribosomal RNA", at positions 524 to 776 of the family's 1533-position model. The record is from RNAcentral.